RNAcentral lists this long non-coding RNA (1913 nucleotides) under Nicotiana tabacum (common tobacco). Its description in RNAcentral is "long non-coding RNA (NTAB_LNC010478)". Lineage: Eukaryota; Viridiplantae; Streptophyta; Magnoliopsida; Solanales; Solanaceae. The record is from RNAcentral.
CGCCGUCGCAUUAUCCGGUGAUUAUGUUUUCCUUACGGCGCCAGUAAUUUUUCUAUUUCCGGAAAUACCCUUCCUCUACUUAUUAAUUCCACUUUUCCGUUACACUUAAUUUUCUUUUAGAUUUUUUUUUCUUGGUUAUGCAUUUAUUGCCGUCUCUUCGACCUAUAUACUUGGAAAAGGUUGCUGCAGCAGAAAUUCAGAAUUUAUCUUUCUGAAAAUAUUUUAGAGGGUAUUACAAGAUUUUGUGGAGCUGUUUUGAUUUGUCGAUCUACAAGAGUUAAGAAUUCCGGCAGCCAUGUCGGGUCCGUUAGAUCGGUUUGCUAGGCCUUGUGAGUUUAUUUGAUUUUCUUUUAUUUUCCAUGCUUUAUUUUUAUUUUCGAAUUUUAAGUACAUUAUUGGUCAAUUUUAGUUUAUAGCUAUUUCUCUUGUUAACAAUUAGGGCUUUUGACCUUCUUUGAACUUUUUCAGUUUUUUGACUUUUGAUGACUGUAUUGGAAUGAGAUGGUUCAGAAUUGUGCUGAAUAGAUAUAGAGGAUUCAUAUAGUCGAGUCAACUAUUUUUGGAUUGAGGUUUUAGUGGUUGUUUUUAUUGUUUUAAUCAUAAGCACGGAAAAAAAAUACAAUUUCUGUUGGAGUGAAAUACGUCCCAAAAUACAGCAUAAUAAGAUCCAUAUUGCGGACUCCAACUAGUUUGGGAUUGAUACAGAGUUGUUUGUGUUGAUUCUCUUAUUCCUUGGAGGGAAAAAUAUAAUUUUUGGUGGAGUAGUGUGGAUUUUGACAAAAUCUACUUAGUGGCGUAGGUUAGGGUAAAUUUGUGAAUAUUUCUACGGCACAAUAGAGUGAGACUAGCCAGUUAGGAGUUAGACUAAGAAUGUCAUUGGUCGUCUAUUGAUGCAGGGCUUUACCUGCUAGUUUUAUUAUACCAGCCAUCUAUUUCGUAUUUCGUAUUCUGUAUUUCAUAUCUCUUAUAUUGCUGUUAUUUUAUUAUGCAUUUUUAUGGUACUAAUAUAUCGGCUCCUGUUGCUUUUUUUGAGCCGAGGGUCUCCUGGAAACAGCCUCUCUACCCUUCGGGGUANNNNNNNNNNNNNNNNNNNNNNNNNNNNNNNNNNNNNNNNNNNNNNNNNNNNACAUAUUACCCUCCCCAGACCCCACCUUGUGGGAUUAUACUGGGUCGUUGUUGUUGUUGUUGUUGUUGUUGUUGUUGCUACUUAGUGGCGUUCUUUGUUUCUCCUGGGUCCUGCCUGGUGGUUUGGGUUUAUCUGGGGAAAAGUAGGUCUCGACGACGACAUGGUCAUCUUCACUAUAAUUGUCAAGCACUCUGUUCGGGAUUAUCGACUGAUGCAAUACGACCCACAUUCUGGUUUUUGCAACUAUCACAAUGAGCAUAGAAGUGGGAAUUUUAGUAAAAAUGAGCAUAAGGGUGAUUCGGUUGAGGAGGAAGUAUUUUUUCAAUUUUAAGUCAAACAUCGUAUCUAUUUCACUCCCUUGCUUUCCAUCUUAGCCAAUUGACCAUUUAGGGCAUAAGGUACAAGUGCUUGAAAGUCUAAAUUACGAAAAUGUAUGGGAACUUCUUUAUGAAAAAAUCUACAGAAACAUAAAAGAUAAUUAUAGAAUCAUGUAGUAGAGAGGAACUGUUGUUAUUAUUUUCUGUUUAUUCGCACAUCGCGAUGGGCUUUUAGAGGAAAAAGAGUUUGUUCUGUACUUGCUGAAUUCUAGUUGACUUGUGCCUAGGACUUGUUGGUCUAGUUUGUUUUCUCAGUACACUUCUGCUUUACCCUUUUGGAUAUUUUGGAAUUGAUUUUCCCACUCCUAAUCUUUUCCACCACUUAACAGGCUUUGAGGGGUCAUCUGCACGUGAAGAGAGAAGGGAAAGAAAAUCUGAUUUUGAGAAUUCAGAGGAUGAGAGGAGGACGA